Molecule: long non-coding RNA, 691 nt
Filed under: Astyanax mexicanus (Mexican tetra)
Lineage: Eukaryota; Metazoa; Chordata; Actinopteri; Characiformes; Acestrorhamphidae
Description: lncRNA (ENSAMXG00005025444.1)
Source: RNAcentral
UUUUCAGAUGGCUUUUAAUUUGAAACAACGGAUACAGGAAGUGUGAAGAGGAAGAGAGAAAAAGGAAUACAGAGAGAGGAGAUAUUAGAAAGGUAGAUUAAACUAAGUAACUAUAAGUUAGUUCUAAAUUUUACAGUUAAAAAGAACAUUCACUAUGUAGUGUAAAGCUGUUAGCACAGUAUUUGGGUAAACAAAGAAAUGCUAAUUCACCUCAGCGAAUAUUUCUAUACUUGCCCAGCCAGUUAACAGUGGCUCCAGACAUUGUUUUGGCCUAGCAGAUGAAGCCGGGUGUGGAGUAACUGGAUGCAGAAGAUUUUUUCAUAAUGCCUGACAGGAGUCAUCAUCCUCUGGCUCCAGACUGCCAAAGCCCCAUUUAUCAGACAGUGUAAUACUCAGAGGUGUCUGCUGUCUCUUGGUAGAGGAGUAAACUGGCAACCUGACAUAAGUAGGAAACAGCGCACGCUCUUGGAUUGUUGGUAAAAGCUGAAUAUAAUUUGAACAUGUAUUUGUAGCCUAAUGCUUUAAAUAGGGAUGGGAGAAGUAAGGUUUACUGACACAAUAUUCCACACAUAUUAAGUUAACCUACAAGUUAACCUACAUUUACAUAGCUGCAAAAUCAAGGCGGAUUUGUCAUCCAGUGGCAGGGCUGGUAUGAAAUAGCAAUAAAAGGCAACAGAAUAAAUAAGAAACA